AACUUUCGGCAACGGAGCUCUUGGUUCUGGCAUCGAUGAAGAACGCAGCGAAAUGCGAUAAGUAAUGUGAAUUGCAGAAUUCAGUGAAUCAUCGAAUCUUUGAACGCACAUUGCGCCCCUUGGUAUUCCGAGGGGCAUGCCUGUUCGAGCGUCAUUU
This 157-nucleotide ribosomal RNA is filed under the name Neofusicoccum parvum. RNAcentral describes it as "5.8S ribosomal RNA". It matches the Rfam family "5.8S ribosomal RNA". From Rfam's summary of the family: 5.8S ribosomal RNA (5.8S rRNA) is a component of the large subunit of the eukaryotic ribosome. Lineage: Eukaryota; Fungi; Ascomycota; Dothideomycetes; Botryosphaeriales; Botryosphaeriaceae. The record is from RNAcentral.